AGUGAACGCUGGCGGUAGGCCUAACACAUGCAAGUCGAACGGCAGCACAGUAAGAGCUUGCUCUUACGGGUGGCGAGUGGCGGACGGGUGAGGAAUACAUCGGAAUCUACUUUUUCGUGGGGGAUAACGUAGGGAAACUUACGCUAAUACCGCAUACGACCUACGGGUGAAAGCAGGGGAUCUUCGGACCUUGCGCGAUUGAAUGAGCCGAUGUCGGAUUAGCUAGUUGGCGGGGUAAAGGCCCACCAAGGCGACGAUCCGUAGCUGGUCUGAGAGGAUGAUCGGCCACACUGGAAGUGAGACACGGUCCAGACUCCUACGGGAGGGAGCAGUGGGGAAUAUUGGACAAUGGGCGCAAGCCUGAUCCAGCCAUACCGCGUGGGUGAAGAAGGCCUUCGGGUUGUAAAGCCCUUUUGUUGGGAAAGAAAAGCAGCAGGUUAAUACCCCGCUGUUCUGACGGUACCCAAAGAAUAAGCACCGGCUAACUUCGUG
Molecule: ribosomal RNA, 492 nt
Filed under: uncultured bacterium
Lineage: Bacteria
Description: partial 16S ribosomal RNA
Rfam family: Bacterial small subunit ribosomal RNA
Source: RNAcentral